Long non-coding RNA from Juglans regia (Persian walnut), 904 nucleotides. RefSeq lists it as uncharacterized. Lineage: Eukaryota; Viridiplantae; Streptophyta; Magnoliopsida; Fagales; Juglandaceae. The transcript is spliced from 4 exons. The record is from RefSeq and is a predicted model, not a curated record.
CCCUCCCGGUUUCUUUCUUCCUCUUCUAUUUUCCCGUUUCUUUCCUUCUUCUCCCCCACCCCCCGGAACUCCUUUGCAACGUGAUUUCUCGAGAAGCCCUGCACUGUGAUUUCGAGUUCCUCUGUCCUGAGAUUUCGAGUUCCUCCCCCGAAGCCUCGAGCUCCUCUGCAGUGCAAUUUCAAGUUCGUAGUUCGACACACUCAGAUUGAAGCCCUCAAUUCACCGACGCGAAGCCCUCGGAUAUGCAGGAGGGGUAAUAGAAAGCAUGCAAAUUCCAAGAAGAGAGCAAGAGGCGACGAAUCCAGGAUUAGGGACAAUGAGCGAGUACUCACAGUGCACGUCUGUUGCAGAUAGAAGUGCUUCUUGCUGCCAAUCCUUGGGCUAACAGCGGUGAUGAAAUCGACGCGUCAUCAGCUAGAACAAGAGUUAUUGCUUGAAGAGAUAACAAGGUUGGAACAAUUGCCAUCAUACAGCCUUCUUUCCCAAUAGUGUUACAGUUCUCAGAUUUAACAUAAUGGCAUUUAACGGCAACAUUCGAGACACUUGUUCUUGUGACGGCAAGAUUUAUCGCAUCGUUGGAGACACUCGUUUUUAUGUAUAUGGUAUAUUGUAUAUGGUAUAUUGCUUCUCGUUUCAAAUAUUGCUUGAUUUCACCACAGCAUGUUACCAUUUGAUUUCGCAAAGGGUAGGUUUCCAGAGUUUGUAAGGCUGAGAAGUACAAAAAAUUAUUUCAAGCAGGAAGUUUAAAUGCUGAAUGUAUAUUUCUCCACAGUUGACUUCCCUAAAACAUUUUUGCAAUUUCAGAACGUUUGGGCACCAAUGUGGGAUUUGUUUUGAAUAAAUGGCGGUCUCUUAGUGCCUUCUUGGGCACCAAAAUGCAAAGAAACCUCAUUUUACAUGUAUU